UUUGACCAACAGAAUUGAAGUCAAAUUGAUAAGAGCAACCUUUGUUCUACCCUCAAAUGGCUUGGGUGAUGCUACCUUCCCUUUGUCCUCAUCCACAGGGCACAGCAGAGGAAUUAGCAUCCCCUGAAGCUCUAAACUGGCUUCACAUUCUCUUUCUGUUUGAACUUCCAACCCAAGACUACAUGCAGCAGGACUCCACUAACAUCACCCCACCGCCACCUCCAACAGAUCAGUGCUCUCAUUCUAGUGGUAAUAAUUAG
RNAcentral lists this long non-coding RNA (260 nucleotides) under Ictidomys tridecemlineatus (thirteen-lined ground squirrel). RNAcentral's name for it is "lncRNA (ENSSTOG00000033878.1)". Lineage: Eukaryota; Metazoa; Chordata; Mammalia; Rodentia; Sciuridae. The record is from RNAcentral.